Long non-coding RNA from Austrofundulus limnaeus, 1299 nucleotides. RefSeq lists it as uncharacterized. The record is from RefSeq and is a predicted model, not a curated record. Lineage: Eukaryota; Metazoa; Chordata; Actinopteri; Cyprinodontiformes; Rivulidae. The transcript has 3 exons.
GGGUCGUUCUCAGGUAUGGGGGGUGUUAUUUGAACAAAUGGUUCUCCUGCGGUUCUGUCUCUGUCUCUGGGCUGCUCUGACCCCCCGCGUACCUUCAGCCUCAGCUCGCCCACUCCGGCUCCCGGCUCCUCCUUUCUGAGAACCAGGAAGCGGCUUGUCCUACUUACCGCCGCGCGCGGAUUGGCGCUGCCGGAGGUGGGAGACCGCCGGUGGAGGGGAGGGGGGGGCAGGGCACAAGGGAGGAUGGACGGGGUCCGACCGCGGUCCUAUAGGCUGGCAGCGGUGCCAGUCGGAGGCGGGAGGGUUGGGAGGAGAGAGGGGGGAGGACUGUGGCCAUCCUCCUCCUCCUCCUCCCUCCAUGAGGGCAUCACUGCAGAGGUGGGCAGACAGCGGAUUACCUGUCAGGAUGUACACGUCCCCAUUCCAUCUCUUACCCCUUCUCCUCGUGACGCAGCAGGAUCCCACCCAGUCCGGUGGAGGUGACCCAAAACGAUGGAGAAGUGGAGCCAGCAGAGCUCCGAGUAAAGCUGCAGCUCCGGAGCUUCGUUUGAGUUAAACAGAAACAAAACAUGAUAAAUGAAACUCAUAGAGAGGAUGUAUCGCAUCCACUGUGGCGGCGACAUAAAGGGCAACAGAAGGGACUUUUUAAAAGUGACUUUUUGUGAAUCACUUAAGAAAAGAGGCAGUUUUUUUUUUUUUUUUUUUUUUUUGCAUGGGUUGCAACUGCAGCUCUCUCACUGAAAGAGAGAAAUAAACCUGUUUUAUGUGACUGAACAGAAGCCUGGUUUCUUUUCAUUUCUCUGCCGAAAAAGGCAAGAAAGAAAGAAAAAAAACUUUGAAGAAUUGACAGGCCUCUGUGUUUUGAAGUGGUUAUGGGAAUCACCUCGCACUCUCACAGCUUGAAUAUCAUCCCCGCCUGUUGUAGCUGCAGCUCCUGGAGUGUGUGUACGUGGUGGGUUUUUGUAGUGAGGGAGCAGGAAGUCUAUUUAUAAUUUGUGGCGAGCUCAAACAGCCCACCUAUACCCCCUACACACACUCCCCCUCAAACCUAAAAUCUCUGCUUGUUCUGCGGUUGUGCUACCAGAAUAAGAAUUUAAACCCUGCAUGCGCAACAAAUGCGUCAUAAAUGCACUUUUUCUUCCCUUUUUUUUCCAGCUUAUGUGUUAAAAUGAUGGUUCCCAACUUCAGGGUCGGGGCUCGGAAAAAGGCAGCAAGAGAUCAUCAGAGAGCAGCAGAUGCAACCUGAGAGACGGGCGGUCGUGAGCAGACUGAAGCAGGAAGGAUCCUGCUACCUGUCUG